CGAACUGGUGAGUAACACGUGGGAAACCUGCCCAGAAGCGGGGGAUAACACCUGGAAACAGAUGCUAAUACCGCANAACAACUUGGACCGCAGGGUCCGAGUUUGAAAGAUGGCUUCGGCUAUCACUUUUGGAUGGUCCCGCGGCGUAUUAGCUAGAUGGUGAGGUAACGGCUCACCAUGGCAAUGAUACGUAGCCGACCUGAGAGGGUAAUCGGCCACAUUGGGACUGAGACACGGCCCAAACUCCUACGGGAGGCAGCAGUAGGGAAUCUUCCACAAUGGACGAAAGUCUGAUGGAGCAACGCCGCGUGAGUGAAGAAGGGUUUCGGCUCGUAAAACUCUGUUGUUAAAGAAGAACAUAUCUGAGAGUAACUGUUCAGGUAUUGACGGUAUUUAACCAGAAAGCCACGGCUAACUACGUGCCAGCAGCCGCGGUAAUACGUAGGUGGCAAGCGUUGUCCGGAUUUAUUGGGCGUAAAGCGAGCGCAGGCGGUUUUUUAAGUCUGAUGUGAAAGCCUUCGGCUCAACCGAAGAAGUGCAUCGGAAACUGGGAAACUUGAGUGCAGAAGAGGACAGUGGAACUCCAUGUGUAGCGGUGAAAUGCGUAGAUAUAUGGAAGAACACCAGUGGCGAAGGCGGCUGUCUGGUCUGUAACUGACGCUGAGGCUCGAAAGUAUGGGUAGCAAACAGGAUUAGAUACCCUGGUAGUCCAUACCGUAAACGAUGAAUGCUAAGUGUUGGAGGGUUUCCGCCCUUCAGUGCUGCAGCUAACGCAUUAAGCAUUCCGCCUGGGGAGUACGGCCGCAAGGCUGAAACUCAAAGGAAUUGACGGGGGCCCGCACAAGCGGUGGAGCAUGUGGUUUAAUUCGAAGCUACGCGAAGAACCUUACCAGGUCUUGACAUACUAUGCAAAUCUAAGAGAUUAGACGUUCCCUUCGGGGACAUGGAUACAGGUGGUGCAUGGUUGUCGUCAGCUCGUGUCGUGAGAUGUUGGGUUAAGUCCCGCAACGAGCGCAACCCUUAUUAUCAGUUGCCAGCAUUAAGUUGGGCACUCUGGUGAGACUGCCGGUGACAAACCGGAGGAAGGUGGGGAUGACGUCAAAUCAUCAUGCCCCUUAUGACCUGGGCUACACACGUGCUACAAUGGAUGGUACAACGAGUUGCGAACUCGCGAGAGUAAGCUAAUCUCUUAAAGCCAUUCUCAGUUCGGAUUGUAGGCUGCAACUCGCCUACAUGAAGUCGGAAUCGCUAGUAAUCGCGGAUCAGCAUGCCGCGGUGAAUACGUUCCCGGGCCUUGUACACA
Molecule: ribosomal RNA, 1303 nt
Filed under: Lactiplantibacillus plantarum
Lineage: Bacteria; Bacillati; Bacillota; Bacilli; Lactobacillales; Lactobacillaceae
Description: bacterial SSU rRNA
Rfam family: Bacterial small subunit ribosomal RNA
Source: RNAcentral